UGGGGAAUAUUGCACAAUGGGGGAAACCCUGAUGCAGCGACGCCGCGUGAGCGAUGAAGGCUUUCGAGUCGUAAAGCUCUGUCCUAUGGGAAGAUAAUGACGGUACCAUAGAAGAAAGCCCCGGCUAAUUACGUGCCAGCAGCCGCGGUAAUACGUAAGGGGCGAGCGUUGUCCGGAAUUAUUGGGCGUAAAGAGUGCGUAGGCGGCAAAUUAAGUCAGAUGUGAAAACUAAGGGCUCAACCCAUAGAUUGCAUCUGAAACUGAUAUGCUUGAGUCAAGGAGAGGAAAGUGGAAUUCCUAGUGUAGCGGUGGAAUGCGUAGAUAUUAGGAGGAAUACCGGUGGAGAAGGCGACUUUCUGGACUUGAACUGACGCUGAGGCACGAAAGCGUGGGGAGCAAACAGG
Molecule: ribosomal RNA, 404 nt
Filed under: Verrucomicrobiota bacterium
Lineage: Bacteria; Pseudomonadati; Verrucomicrobiota
Description: Verrucomicrobia bacterium partial 16S ribosomal RNA
Rfam family: Bacterial small subunit ribosomal RNA
Source: RNAcentral